GAUGAACGCUGGCGGCGUGCCUAAUACAUGCAAGUCGAGCGAACGGACGAGAAGCUUGCUUCUCUGAUGUUAGCGGCGGACGGGUGAGUAACACGUGGAUAGCCUACCUAUAAGACUGGGAUAACUUCGGGAAACCGGAGCUAAUACCGGAUAAUAUUUUGAACCGCAUGGUUCAAAAGUGAAAGACGGUCUUGCUGUCACUUAUAGGUGGAUCCGCGCUGCAUUAGCUAGUUGGUAAGGUAACGGCUUACCAAGGCAACGAUGCAUAGCCGACCUGAGAGGGUGAUCGGCCACUCUGGAACUGAGACACGGUCCAGACUCCUACGGGAGGCAGCAGUAGGGAAUCUUCCGCAAUGGGCGAAAGCCUGACGGAGCAACGCCGCGUGAGUGAUGAAGGUCUUCGGAUCGUAAAACUCUGUUAUUAGGGAAGAACAUAUGUGUAAGUAACUGUGCACAUCUUGACGGUACCUAAUCAGAAAGCCACGGCUAACUACGUG
RNAcentral lists this ribosomal RNA (497 nucleotides) under uncultured bacterium. RNAcentral's name for it is "partial 16S ribosomal RNA". It matches the Rfam family "Bacterial small subunit ribosomal RNA", at positions 28 to 507 of the family's 1533-position model. The record is from RNAcentral.